RNAcentral lists this ribosomal RNA (411 nucleotides) under uncultured cyanobacterium. RNAcentral describes it as "bacterial SSU rRNA". It matches the Rfam family "Bacterial small subunit ribosomal RNA", at positions 370 to 795 of the family's 1533-position model. Lineage: Bacteria; Bacillati; Cyanobacteriota. The record is from RNAcentral.
AAUGGGCGCAAGCCUGACGGAGCAAGACCGCGUGGGGGAGGAAAGCCUUUGGGUUGUAAACCCCUUUUCUCAGGGAAGAAGAAAGUGACGGUACCUGAGGAAUCAGCCUCGGCUAACUCCGUGCCAGCAGCCGCGGUAAUACGGAGGAGGCAAGCGUUAUCCGGAAUGAUUGGGCGUAAAGCGUUCGUAGGUGGCAAUUCAAGUCUGCUGUCAAAGACAGUAGCUCAACUACUGCAAGGCAGUGGAAACUGAAUAGCUAGAGUGCGGUAGGGGCAGAGGGAAUUCCCGGUGUAGCGGUGAAAUGCGUAGAGAUCGGGAAGAACACCGGUGGCGAAAGCGCUCUGCUGGGCCGCAACUGACACUGAGGGACGAAAGCUAGGGGAGCGAAUGGGAUUAGAUACCCCAGUAGUC